This 309-nucleotide ribosomal RNA is filed under the name uncultured eukaryote. RNAcentral describes it as "partial 18S ribosomal RNA". It matches the Rfam family "Eukaryotic small subunit ribosomal RNA", at positions 1470 to 1796 of the family's 1831-position model. The record is from RNAcentral.
CCCUUAGAUGGUCUGGGCGGCCCGCGCACUACAUUGGCACUCUCAAUAAGUUCCUAGAUCUAAAACUUUGGGGUAUUCUAUUAAGUGGUGUCGUGACUGGGAUUAACCCUUGCAAUUAUUGGUUACGAACGAGGAAUUCCUUGUAAUCGCGGUUUAUCAGCCCGCGUUGAAUGCGUCCCUGCCCUUUGUACACACCGCCCGUCGCUCCUACCGAUGAAUCGUCCGGUGAAGUUCAUGGAGUGGUGGUUGUUCCAGCUGCUGUCGAAGUGAAAUGGACCUCACGAUUUAGAGGAAGGAGAAGUCGUAACA